GAUGAACGCUGGCGGCGUGCCUAAUACAUGCAAGUAGAACGCUGAAGGAGGAGCUUGCUCUUCUGGAUGAGUUGCGAACGGGUGAGUAACGCGUAGGUAACCUGCCUGGUAGCGGGGGAUAACUAUUGGAAACGAUAGCUAAUACCGCAUAACAGUAGAUAUUGCAUGAUAUCUGCUUGAAAGGUGCAAUUGCAUCACUACCAGAUGGACCUGCGUUGUAUUAGCUAGUUGGUGAGGUAACGGCUCACCAAGGCGACGAUACAUAGCCGACCUGAGAGGGUGAUCGGCCACACUGGGACUGAGACACGGCCCAGACUCCUACGGGAGGCAGCAGUAGGGAAUCUUCGGCAAUGGACGGAAGUCUGACCGAGCAACGCCGCGUGAGUGAAGAAGGUUUUCGGAUCGUAAAGCUCUGUUGUAAGAGAAGAACGAGUGUGAGAGUGGAAAGUUCACA
This 454-nucleotide ribosomal RNA is filed under the name Streptococcus australis. Its description in RNAcentral is "bacterial SSU rRNA". It matches the Rfam family "Bacterial small subunit ribosomal RNA", at positions 28 to 468 of the family's 1533-position model. The record is from RNAcentral. Lineage: Bacteria; Bacillati; Bacillota; Bacilli; Lactobacillales; Streptococcaceae.